CAGCAGCCGCGGGAAAACAGAGGGUGCGAGCGUUAAUCGGAUUUACUGGGCGUAAAGCGUGCGUAGGCGGCUUCUUAAGUCGGAUGUGAAAUCCCUGAGCUUAACUUAGGAAUUGCAUUCGAUACUGGGAAGCUAGAGUAUGGGAGAGGAUGGUAGAAUUCCAGGUGUAGCGGUGAAAUGCGUAGAGAUCUGGAGGAAUACCGAUGGCGAAGGCAGCCAUCUGGCCUAAUACUGACGCUGAGGUACGAAAGCAUGGGGAGCAAACAGGAUUAGAGACCCCAGUAGUCCCUGUCUCUUAUAC
This 301-nucleotide ribosomal RNA is filed under the name uncultured bacterium. RNAcentral's name for it is "partial 16S ribosomal RNA". It matches the Rfam family "Bacterial small subunit ribosomal RNA", at positions 509 to 807 of the family's 1533-position model. The record is from RNAcentral.